RNAcentral lists this ribosomal RNA (2913 nucleotides) under Klebsiella pneumoniae. RNAcentral describes it as "23S ribosomal RNA". It matches the Rfam family "Bacterial large subunit ribosomal RNA". The record is from RNAcentral. Lineage: Bacteria; Pseudomonadati; Pseudomonadota; Gammaproteobacteria; Enterobacterales; Enterobacteriaceae.
GGGUUGUGAGGUUAAGCGACUAAGCGUACACGGUGGAUGCCCUGGCAGUCAGAGGCGAUGAAGGACGUGCUAAUCUGCGAAAAGCGUCGGUAAGGUGAUAUGAACCGUUAUAACCGGCGAUGUCCGAAUGGGGAAACCCAGUGUGAUUCGUCACACUAUCGUUAACUGAAUACAUAGGUUAACGAGGCGAACCGGGGGAACUGAAACAUCUAAGUACCCCGAGGAAAAGAAAUCAACCGAGAUUCCCCCAGUAGCGGCGAGCGAACGGGGAGCAGCCCAGAGUCUGAAUCAGCUUGUGUGUUAGUGGAACGGUCUGGAAAGUCCGACGGUACAGGGUGAUAGUCCCGUACACCAAAAUGCACAGGCUGUGAACUCGAAGAGUAGGGCGGGACACGUGGUAUCCUGUCUGAAUAUGGGGACCAUCCUCCAAGGCUAAAUACUCCUGACUGACCGAUAGUGAACCAGUACCGUGAGGGAAAGGCGAAAAGAACCCCGGCGAGGGGAGUGAAAAAGAACCUGAAACCGUGUACGUACAAGCAGUGGGAGCACCUUCGGGUGUGACUGCGUACCUUUGUAUAAUGGGUCAGCGACUUAUAUUCUGUAGCAAGGUUAACCGUAUAGGGAGCCGCAGGGAAACCGAGUCUUAACUGGGCGUUAAGUUGCAGGGUAUAGACCCGAAACCCGGUGAUCUAGCCAUGGGCAGGUUGAAGGUUGGGUAACACUAACUGGAGGACCGAACCGACUAAUGUUGAAAAAUUAGCGGAUGACUUGUGGCUGGGGGUGAAAGGCCAAUCAAACCGGGAGAUAGCUGGUUCUCCCCGAAAGCUAUUUAGGUAGCGCCUCGUGAACUCAUCUUCGGGGGUAGAGCACUGUUUCGGCUAGGGGGUCAUCCCGACUUACCAACCCGAUGCAAACUACGAAUACCGAAGAAUGUUAUCACGGGAGACACACGGCGGGUGCUAACGUCCGUCGUGAAGAGGAAACAACCCAGACCGCCAGCUAAGGUCCCAAAGUCAUGGUUAAGUGGGAAACGAUGUGGGAAGGCACAGACAGCCAGGAUGUUGGCUUAGAAGCAGCCAUCAUUUAAAGAAAGCGUAAUAGCUCACUGGUCGAGUCGGCCUGCGCGGAAGAUGUAACGGGGCUAAACCAUGCACCGAAGCUGCGGCAGCGACACUAUGUGUUGUUGGGUAGGGGAGCGUUCUGUAAGCCUGCGAAGGUGACCUGUGAGGGUUGCUGGAGGUAUCAGAAGUGCGAAUGCUGACAUAAGUAACGAUAAAGCGGGUGAAAAGCCCGCUCGCCGGAAGACCAAGGGUUCCUGUCCAACGUUAAUCGGGGCAGGGUGAGUCGACCCCUAAGGCGAGGCCGAAAGGCGUAGUCGAUGGGAAACAGGUUAAUAUUCCUGUACUUGGUGUUACUGCGAAGGGGGGACGGAGAAGGCUAUGUUAGCCGGGCGACGGUUGUCCCGGUUUAAGCAUGUAGGCUGGUUAUCCAGGCAAAUCCGGAUAAUCAAGGCUGAGGUGUGAUGACGAGGCACUACGGUGCUGAAGUAACAAAUGCCCUGCUUCCAGGAAAAGCCUCUAAGCAUCAGGUAACAUCAAAUCGUACCCCAAACCGACACAGGUGGUCAGGUAGAGAAUACCAAGGCGCUUGAGAGAACUCGGGUGAAGGAACUAGGCAAAAUGGUGCCGUAACUUCGGGAGAAGGCACGCUGGUGUGUAGGUGAAGCCCCUGCGGGUGGAGCUGAGACCAGUCGAAGAUACCAGCUGGCUGCAACUGUUUAUUAAAAACACAGCACUGUGCAAACACGAAAGUGGACGUAUACGGUGUGACGCCUGCCCGGUGCCGGAAGGUUAAUUGAUGGGGUUAUCCGUAAGGAGAAGCUCUUGAUCGAAGCCCGGUAAACGGCGGCCGUAACUAUAACGGUCCUAAGGUAGCGAAAUUCCUUGUCGGGUAAGUUCCGACCUGCACGAAUGGCGUAAUGAUGGCCAGGCUGUCUCCACCCGAGACUCAGUGAAAUUGAACUCGCUGUGAAGAUGCAGUGUACCCGCGGCAAGACGGAAAGACCCCGUGAACCUUUACUAUAGCUUGACACUGAACAUUGAGCCUUGAUGUGUAGGAUAGGUGGGAGGCUUUGAAGCGUGGACGCCAGUCUGCGUGGAGCCAACCUUGAAAUACCACCCUUUAAUGUUUGAUGUUCUAACGUUGGCCCCUUACCGGGGUUGCGGACAGUGUCUGGUGGGUAGUUUGACUGGGGCGGUCUCCUCCCAAAGCGUAACGGAGGAGCACGAAGGUUAGCUAAUCCUGGUCGGACAUCAGGAGGUUAGUGCAAUGGCAUAAGCUAGCUUGACUGCGAGCGUGACGGCGCGAGCAGGUGCGCAGGUCAUAGUGAUCCGGUGGUUCUGAAUGGAAGGGCCAUCGCUCAACGGAUAAAAGGUACUCCGGGGAUAACAGGCUGAUACCGCCCAAGAGUUCAUAUCGACGGCGGUGUUUGGCACCUCGAUGUCGGCUCAUCACAUCCUGGGGCUGAAGUAGGUCCCAAGGGUAUGGCUGUUCGCCAUUUAAAGUGGUACGCGAGCUGGGUUUAGAACGUCGUGAGACAGUUCGGUCCCUAUCUGCCGUGGGCGCUGGAGAAUUGAGGGGGGCUGCUCCUAGUACGAGAGGACCGGAGUGGACGCAUCACUGGUGUUCGGGUUGUCAUGCCAAUGGCACUGCCCGGUAGCUAAAUGCGGAAGAGAUAAGUGCUGAAAGCAUCUAAGCACGAAACUUGCCCCGAGAUGAGUUCUCCCUGAGACUUUAAGUCUCCUGAAGGAACGUUGAAGACGACGACGUUGAUAGGCCGGGUGUGUAAGCGCAGCGAUGCGUUGAGCUAACCGGUACUAAUGAACCGUGAGGCUUAACCUUACAACGCCGAAG